GUUUCUGCAAGUUUCAGUUUUCAGAAAUUGGAGUCCAGGCCAAGUUGAACCAGGAGAAGCUGUGGUCCAUCCCAGUGCUGACACCCACACCUAAAGGUGCUCAGCCUGGGAUGUCUCCCCAGGGCAUGAGGUGGAGUAAGGAGGCUGUUUGCCUGUAGAGAACACAGCUCUUCCUAAUGAGUGGAGCUGGGGGUGGGGUCUGAGCAGCAUGAAGUACCUUGUAGAGUCCGAUGUGCCCAUUUCCAGAGUUUCAAAAAAAGAAAGCAAGAGUUAUGCUAGAAGAUGCAAAGGUACUAUGGGUGCCUGAUGUCAUUAAAUCUCAAGAAUGUUAAGCCCAUGAGCAGUGAGGCUCCUGUGUAGCAUACCACAACCUCUGGCCAACUUGGUUUCAUCCGUGAUGGUAACCAGUGGUAGUUCUCCUGGCUCGUUAUCUGAACACUCCAUGACUCAUCAUCCCACUGACCAAUAUUUCUGAGCACUUACUGUGUGCCUGGCACUCUGUUGAGCAAACCCAGGGACACACCCUGCCCUCGUGGAACUGAUAGUCCGGCUGGGAGUCAGAUGUAAAUAUCCAUGAAGAUAAAUGAAAGAGAGGUACGUCGAGAAGAACUAGCGGUCUGACAAAAAUAAGCACACGUGACUCCAGUUCUCCACCCAGAUGUCUGGUAUUACGCUUCUCAGGGAACUAUCAGCUGACCUCAGUGGAUCCAGAAGGUUGUAUUGGUUUAGGCUCUUGAAAAAUACUCCAUGCCAAGGAAAUAUUUCAGAAAGCAUCCAGAAGAACAGAAGAAAAGUAAUGUUAAAAAUGCAAAUAACUAUACUUUCAGAUACAAGUGUUUCUGUUGACAAAUUUUGCCAUACCUGGUUCAUUCUGACACUGAAGUAGCCUUAUUAAAGGACACUGUUUUGGCUGAAAUUAUACACUUUAGUGUCAUCUAAUGGAGAACCCAUAUGCUUGUUGGGGUAUUAGGUGGAAAGAAGUGUUUUCUUUUAUUAAAAAAAGCCAAAGUUGGGGUCCCUGGGUGGCUCAGUUGGUUAAGGUCCCACUCUUGAUUUUGGCUCAGGUCAAGAUCUCCCAGUUCAUCAGAUCGAGCACCACAUCGGGCCUGGAGUCUGCUUAAGAUUCUCUCUUCCUCCUCCUCUGCCCCUCCCCUGCUCACUCGCUUUCUUUCUAAAGAAAAAAUAAUAAUAAUUAAACAUGCUGAGGAAAGACACCAUUCAAACUACUAUAAUCAUGCCCAAACAAUUCCCUAAUUAAUGGAUAUAUAUUAUAGGAUGAAUACAGGGUAGGGAGGCUCCACCUUUCUCGGCUAAGGCUGCUACCAACGUGACAGACAAACUUCAGUUCUUCCUGCCUAUUUGAUCUGUGGGAAUUGUCCAGAAUCAGAUGCCAUCAUGGGCCCCUGCACAGACUAUUCGUUCUGGGAACGUCUCCAACAAAGUCGUUGUAAGUGGCCCAGUAGUGGUUUGGGUGGACCAGGAGGGUGACACAGAAUGCAUGGUGAGACCAUUCUCUAAAAAUGCCUCAAUGGGGCUCCUGGGUGGCUCAGUUGGUUAAGAGUCUGACUCUUGGUUUCUGCUCAGGUCAUGAUCUCGAGGUUUGUGAGUCGAGCCCUGCAUCAAGCUCUGUGCUGACAGUGCAGAACCUGCUUGGGAUUCUCUCUCUCUCUUUUUCUCUCUCUCCCUCCCUCUCCCUGCCCCUCCCCUGCUCGUGCUGUCUCUCUCUGUCUCUGUCUCUCAAAAAUAAAUAAACUUAAAAAAAAAUUUUUAAAGAUAAAAUUAAAAUGCCUCAGUGACAGAAGCACCAUCAACAGCAGAAGCAAAUAUUUACUGAAUUUGAUCCAAGCGCCCAAACUGAGGAAAUGUGAACACUGGGAAAGAAGGUUCUAGUUCAAACUUCCUAGACUUUGUUUUUUUAAGAAAACAGACAUCUCCAAAGAGACUUUUAUGUUCUAAGGGACAAACAAAAUCGUAGUAAAUUAAAUGUGUACUGUUUAUUUCAGCUGGCACAUUAACUAUAUAGUUAAUGUGAUGUCUCCAAGCAAGGUGGUUGGCUCUCUUUACAUGCUAGAAUAAUCAAUGAUUUAUGUACCUGACCAUCUUUUCAUAAUCCUUUACACAAGCAUGUGUAUUUAUGACUGUUUUAGAAAACUUUGAGGAUAAUUUUACUAUUGAAAGGGAUUAUAAAUUUUUUGCCAUUGUGACUGUGCUUGUUUAAGCAUAUCUAAAAUUCUUCUGAAGUCAAAUACUUUUGCAGCUAGAACAGUGAGGCAUUGUGGCAAAAUAGGCUGGGGGGCUUGCCAGGUUACAUUUGCUAAAAAUGGGACGUGUUUAUUUGGUCCCUCAAGGUUGGAACUCAGAAAUCACCUUAUCCAGUGAUUAUCAACAGGGGCACUGAUGCCAUAUUGAGUGUGAUCAUUUUCCAUUGUUUAGGACUAUCUUGAGCAUUGUCAGGGGAGUUAGUACUCCUGGCCCACCUGCACCAAAUGCCACUUGAAUCAUCUAGAAAUUUGGACAACAAACGCCCACAAUGGGGUGUGCCAUGGGGGACUGCCCUUGGGUGAGAAACACUGAUCAAUCCAAUGACCCAUGAAUGGGCUGCACAGGUCCCCUUCCACCAUCCUCUAAAGAUAACAGGUCAGCCCGGCUCUUCUGCCAUGCACCCACACCUCCAGUAAUGAAGAAAUCACCACCUCCUAAAGCCACAUUUGAACUCUACUCAUUAUUAAAAUGUUAUUUUUUAUGACAUAACUCCCCCCCCCCCCAUUUCCAUCAUUAGCCUUUGGUCUGUAACACAGACCUCUUUGUUUCUCAUCCUCUUCCACAUGAAUGCCCAUCAGUCUUUGAGAGUAGCCAUUGUGUUCCUCCUGUCCCAUGACAACCUCCCACCCCUCCUGGAAACUUGCUGUGUCAUUGUACAUGGUUUUGCACUUCAUGGCAAAGCACUUUUUGUAUUACCUCAUUUAAUUUUCACACCAUGAUGUAGGGGUGAUCAUUUCCUCUUCAAAGGAAAUGAAAUGGAGUUUCAGACCCAAUGACUGACCCAAGGCUGCACUGUUGGUCAUUGGUCAAGCAGGAACAUGAACCUAGUUCUUAUGCAAAUUCGGUACCUGUCACACUUCUCCCAGUGUUCACUAAAUUUUGUCCAGUCUCUCCCUUUCCAAUGCCUUCUUUCUUUCCAUCUCCACCUCUGCUUGUCUCCCAUCAUAGAAGGCAUGAUGGCCCCAAUUUUUUACCCUUUUUGUAUUUGCAUCCUUUACCAUAUUGCUUUGCAUUUCUUCCUAGCAACAGGUGGAAUAUAUUUCUCAGCUCUUGAUUUUGGGUUCAAUAGAAUGAAGUGAAAAUGUCAUUAUACCAGUUCUGAAUUUAGGCCUCAAGAAGCCUUGUAUGUUCCCACUUGUUCUUUUGCAUUUCUGCCUUCAUUAGACACAAGGAGCAGAGCCGCCUCAGCUGUCCUAUUUAGAUUAGCUGACCCCCAGCCAACCCAGAGGCUUGCAAGAAAAAAACAAUUGGUUUUAUUUAACUUAUUGAGUUUGGAAUUAUUUGUUAUGCAGCGGUUGCUAACUGAUACAUUUCUUCAACCUUCAGAAAACAAAGACUUCCCUUUACCCACUGUUUUUCUUUCCCUCAUUACUUGAAAGCCUGUACUAGCUUUCUUAACAUCUUCAUCUUUUGUUUCACAAACCACUACUACCUUCUGCUCCACUCUCCCUGUGAGAAGGGGCCCCCAACUUCUAAUGGCCAAACACUACGUGGUCCUGACAGCCUUUAGCGCCUUGAACCAUCCUGCCCUUCUGUAACUCCUUCUUUGGUUUUCAUGACACUUCCUGUGUUUCUCAUCUCUCUUUUCUCCUGUCAGGAGUCUCCUCUCUGCCCUUGUUGCCUCUUGCUUUCCUUCUCUCUCCCCAGGGACCCUAGCCUCUCUCAUGACUUCAAGGACCACAAAAGUAUCGACAGCUGUUUGUAACCCCAUGUCUCUUCAACAUUCCAGCUGUGUGUGCAUGUCUGUUUCACAGCUCCUGCAGGGGGUACUGAUGGUUUCACACAGGAAAUGAUUGCAGGUGGCGUGGAGGAGGAGUGGCAUAGGAAGAGAUCAGUGGUCAGGACUCCAGACCAGAAGGUAGGGCAAGAAUCCAGGCAAGAGGUGAUGUGGCCAGGCUCAGAUGUCAGAGUCACCAGAAACCCUUGAUUGAGCACCUGUGCUUCCUCCUGCAAAGCUGCAGUUUUGUUUUUGGACUCAGGUACAGGACUUCACAUUUAUCCUUCUUAAAUCUAUUCAUGGUUAGCUUUGGCCCAGUACUGCAACCUGUCACACUCCUUGCUAAUUCUAUUAUACCCACUUAAUUAGGCAUCCCUCCUGGACCGAUGUCAAUCAGUCAUUUGGUCAAUGUGUUACUUGUAUCCUACUCAAGGCACAGAUAACACUGAAAAGAAAGGUUCUGGCGGGAAGAAUACAGCAAUACCUGUUAUUUGUUUUAGCUACCAAAUGGCUGCAUGACCCAGAAAUUGAUGCAGGUGUGGCUGGGUGUUGGUUCUCAUACACCCUCCUCCACGGGAGGGGCUAGGUGAUCCCCACAGGAAUCAGAUGUGCGUCCAUCAGACUUCUGCCUCGUGGCAGCCCUGUGGCUCUGGGCCACAGAGGAAUCUGAGAUGGAAGAAUGGCCGGCUGGGCAGCAACCACUCCUAUCAGGAAAUCUAAGCCAACGUUAUGUCCAACUGAAAAAGCAAGCCAAGAGAACAAAAGCAGGUCUUGUGUAAUUUCCAGACUGCACUGUGGCUCCAAGCAGCUUUGUAUCACACAGACCAGUUGGCUGGUGACCGAGGCUCUGAGAGGCUCACCUGCUCCUCCCUCUCCCUGGCAGAUAUGCCCCCCCAGAGCCGCCAAGGAAGAGAACCCAGGGAGGCUGGCGACUGAGAAAGCUUGCACCAGGGCUGUGUGCACUCGUCCUUUUCUCCAGGGGUAAUCCUAACAUUUGGGCAGAUGCCUGGCUUUAGCCAAGAGCCUCGUCCAAGAACAUCAUGAUCUCAAUCCUUGCUGGCUCACUCUGCCUUUGGCCCCCCAGGAGCCUCCCAGGCGGCAGCAGGGAAGGGCACAGAGUAUUUCCUGACACCCUGGCCCUCUCCUGGUUCCCAGCUUUGAGGAUGAAAGAGGGAGGAGGAACAGAGUUUGGCCUCAGGCCACCAGGGGCUGGUACCCCAGGGCUAGCUCGUGCUGUCUGGGAGAGUUAAACUGCUCAGAGCCUCAGUUUCCUCAAGUAUGAAAUGGGAGUGGCUCUGGCUGAGAUGUGUAUUUAGUGCCAGGCAGGCGGUGCUCUGUCAGUGGCAGCCUCACUUGGACAGUGGGACAGCAACAAGGCCGUGCAGUUAGUCAAGUGCAGGGGAAGAUGCUGUGGGGCCUCUGGGCAGAUUGAGCGCCACCUAGAGGCCAGCCCGCCCUCCACCUGGGGCUUUCCCUGUUGGGAGUGACAGGAACACAAACCGGGGACAUGCAGAGGAAGGAAACUGACCAGAAUGUGUGGCACCUUUUUAUUUAGUCAGUCUUUAUUUAAAUGUGUGUUUUGAAAUAGCUUAUUAAAUAGGAUCUUCUCCAAGUUCAAUUCUCACAAUAUUUACAGUGAAUUUUGUGCAAACAUAUUUUGACUGUGAGCUUCUUGCUCCCCCCA
Molecule: long non-coding RNA, 5663 nt
Organism: Acinonyx jubatus (cheetah)
Lineage: Eukaryota; Metazoa; Chordata; Mammalia; Carnivora; Felidae
Exons: 3
Source: RefSeq, a predicted model, not a curated record